Brassica rapa (field mustard) is the source of this 5139-nucleotide RNA transcript. RefSeq lists it as uncharacterized. NCBI's taxonomy places the organism in Eukaryota, Viridiplantae, Streptophyta, Magnoliopsida, Brassicales, Brassicaceae. The record is from RefSeq and is a predicted model, not a curated record.
UACCCAAACAAUACAAAUCUCAAAACUCAAAAGACUAACUGCCUCAAAACAAACCAUGUGUGGUAUGAUAACGCUGAAAUGCCCACAAAAUGUAACGUUUUGUAACCUAAUCGUUAAUCAUACUCUUAUCGUCAGAUUUUCAUAUAUUGAAGGGAUUUGUAUUAUUCCAGAGUUGUUAUCUCGUUUUCAAUUAUUAACAAACAAAAACGUCAUACCUUCCCUCGUGAACAAGAAAGCACACAAAAGAGGAGAGUUACAUUUAUUUAAUUCAGUUCAUUUUAAAAUAUUUUCUUUUCUUCUGCUUCAUGUCUUCUCUCCCAUUAUACUCCCUCCUUAACUUUUCCUUAGAACUAUGUUCAAAUGAAUCCACUCCCUAUUAAGGUUUUCUUUUUUUGUCUAUUUAACCCCAACCCAUUCCAUAUAACGUCAAAAACAUUGUUGGGUUUCAUUACAAGAACACAAAAGACAUGGGUUUCACUAAAGAUCAAGAUCGGUUCUGUUCGACGCCUAAGCUUCCUCUGUUUUCAUAUCCAAUGAACAGACCAUACGAAACUCCGGGAUUAGCUACACCGCCGGUUAACAUCGCCGGUUCUGUUCCUUUUCUAUGGGAAGAAGCUCCCGGAAAGCCUCGUUCUUCCGUUAGAAAACCGCCGAGAACGAACCAAACCAGAGAAAACAGAGGAGUUGCGAGAUGCUUGGACCUUCCCCCUACGCUGAUUUUGCCAGGAGAAGCUUGUAAAUCGUCCACGGCAAACGAGCCUUCUCCGACAACUGUUCUCGAUGGUCCAUACGAUUUGCGUCGCCGUUCACUGUCGCUUCCGAGAUCGGCGGCUGUGAUCAGGAAGUUGAGAGGUGUGCCGGCGCCGUUUGGGUCAAGUAGAUGGGGAAGUUUAGGGAACUGCAAAGAGUUGUCUGAGGGUAUAUAUGACUUUUCACGUUUUAGAGACGGCGGCUGUGAUUGCCAGAAGGAUUGGGCUGGAGGAGGAUAUGACUUCGCCGGCGACGGCGGUACAACAGUGAAGCUUUUCAGACGUCUUAAAAGGAAAGGAAACCUUUUUAAUCUCUCUCAUGCAACAAAGUCCGACUUCUUGGUAAGUUUAGUUUUUUCAGCUAAACAGAAAAAUCAAAAGUUACAUACUUUUCACAAAUCCAUAAUUAUUUAUUUAUUUACUUUAUUGUCAAAAUCUUAAAAUAAUGAAGACAUAAUAAUACUUUUUUCGUUUUUUUGGUUAUCCCCAUUAUUCGAUAUUUAAAAACGCAGGCAAGGGUUUACGAAGGGUUUAAGCAGGUGAUUCCGUGGAGACGUAAGCAAGAGAAUCUACAAAGGACGAAUUCUUCCACUAUUUAAAUCGUAUCUCCAUUCAAUUUCUUCUAACUUUAAGUAUAGACUAUAGUUUAUAUACUAAUUAAUUAGUCUUCUCGUGUGUAUUAUUUAUUUAUAUAUAAUAUGUCAAUGAAACAACUUGUAUUAAAGUUUAGAAUUAAUAUCUAGGGAAUUCGAUUUUUAUUACAUGUAUAUAAUACUUUUAUUAAAUAGAAAUUGGGGCUCAUAUACACAAAGGAGACCAUAUUUAGCUAUAUUUUUUUUAAACUGGCUCCAUAUUUAGCUAGAUAACCCCUUUACUGUGAUUAUUGUUUCAUUUCCAGUAAUCCGAACCUACCUCUAUUAGUCUUCCUUCCCAUAGAUAUCAACAAAAAUGUCAUCUAAGAAUGGUGUCAAAAUAUAUAUUCUCAUCUCUACGAUGAUUUCUUAAAAAUAGUUUUAUUUUCUUAGCAUUUAAAUAAAUUUGGGCUAGUAUCACCAUUUUUUCUUAAACGACAGAGAAAACAAAAAGCUUGGGCGAAAUAGUAGAGGAAAUUUGUCUCAUACAUCUGCAACCUCGUGGAAUCGGUGAGCAUUAAGAUAUGAAGCUGAGAAGACCCCGUUCGCAGUCCACGUGAAAUCCAUAUUAGAUCCUAGACAAGUUUAUUGAUUGGAGGACAGGGUUUUCUGAUCCCAGACAAGUCUAUGUGUGGGAGAACGAGGUAGAUGAUGACUGUAUUGAGGAUAUAUGGUUGGACUUGUUCUUCGAUGCCCUGUUUUUAAGAAAUAAGUGUUUGUUGGUGGAGGGAUGAAAGCGGCUGACCUUCUCAGUUUACGUAACGAGAAAAAAAAAACAGAAAUAAAAAGGAUAAAGAAAAGAAAGAGAGGGACAGCAAUACAUAUUCAACUGAUGCUCGUAGUUUUACAUUAUAGAUCCCAACCAAGUUGGAGAGGCUUCCAAGUAGCUAUCAGUCACGAUUUUUCAAGAAGUUGAAACCUAGUAAACGAUGAAUCGGUGUUGUCUCAAAAUAAUGUUUGGCAGCAGCUAAGCUCAGAGAAUGUAAACGUUUAUGCCCCAAUAUUAUCACCAGACCCUUUGCUUCUGGAUUCACUAUACAGAAGAUUUGGCCUUAGAAUUAUCUACCCAAAAAGGAAAGAAAUAAGAAACAAGAUUACUCGGCACAAGUGCCUCAAGAGCAAUGCAUUACACCGCAAGAUCAACUAAUGCAAAGUUUAGUAUAAUGGCCAUCAUGAUUAAAAAGCCUGAUACGAGUGUCCUCUUGUUAAGUCCAUUUUAAAAUUUUGGCAAUAUCCAAACAUUUUCCCUUUUUUUCCCCUUCUGAUAAAAGGAAAAGUAACUGCACCUCCAAGGAAUAAGUAACAUUUUCCUUUUUUUGGGGGGGGGGGGUUUAUAAGGAAAAAGGAAAGUCUAAACCCUGAAUAAAAAGAAGAUUAUUAGCUAUGAAGGUUUCAUCCAAGUUAAAUCUCAAAAGUUUCAAGAUGGGUGAUGCAAAGAUAGUUCAAGGAGAGAAUUGCCCGAUAGCGCGAUGGAUAUAUCGAGGGAUAUGCAUGUUAGCAUCUGUGAGCGGGUUAAUUAUGCUCGCUCUAGAUCUCUUCUGGCCGGAGUUUUCUUCGUUGUCGCCACCGGAACAGAAAGAUGGACCGGGCGUGUUGGUGCUCUGUUCAGCACCGUUCUUGAUUUUUGCGGUUGUGGUGGUGAGGUCGUUGUACCUCCCGGUUCCGCAAUCUUUUGAUCUACAAAGAGGCGGGAGACAGCUAUUGUCUAGUUUCCUUGCAUGUAUGACGUUAUCUAUGUGCGCUGUAUCAACUAAGCGUUCUGUAGAAGGGCUUAUCUUCUCGUUUUCGCUGCUUUCUGGCUUGUGUUCCGCAGUGCUACUCGAAUGGCCAAUCAAAGAUGUAUGCGUCCAACAUGUUGUCUACACCUAUUUUGUGUUGGCUUUGAUUGGGUACUUAGGUUACCAGCGACCUGUUUGGCCGGCUUAUCUUUUCGUAGUUGCCUUGGUCAUUGUCAAUGGCUUUAUUUUCUAUGGAGUACUUCGUCUUGAUCUCCCAGAGCCACCAGAGCCGGAAGAGGAGGACUCCAAGGAUUCUCCGGUCUGAAGCUUUUCAGUUCAGGGGUUUAAUUUAACUGCUUUCCGUCUGUCGCAUGUAAUAAGACUCUUUGCUAAUUCUUUGGUAUAACUACUACUUUUCAUUUAAUUUUGGGUAUCCAUACAAAGAAACUCUCGACUAAAGAGUAUCAUAAGGUCCAAAAUAAACAAAAGUAAUUAAAUAAAAGCAAAAGAAUUACAACUUUCACCAAAUAAUUUUCCAAGAGAUGCUUAAAGAGUUUGUCGAUGUUGAUCAUAUCUUGAAGCCAUGACGAGCCAGAACUUGCGUAAGCCACCAGAUGUGCUUGGCCUGAAAUCAUGUGAGUUAUCAGCUGGUGGCUCCUCCACAACCUCAAUUUUGGUUUAUGUCCUCUGUUCACCAUCACUUUGAUAUAGAUCGAUGUUUUGUAUUUGCGAGAUAUGUUCUUUUUAAGAAAGCAUAAAUUCAAAUGAUUAUACACGAGGGUACUUGCCAUGCAAACCUCACCAUCAAAAUCUUAAUGCUAGCAAAUUUUAAUUUUCGAAACAAGGAACACAUGGUAAUUAGAUCUCUAUUUUGCACACAACAGCAAGCAGUAUGGUGAACAAGAUUAAGAUGACAUUAAAGCACUUACUUUGAUAGAUAAGCUAGCAACUUAGGCUGGUUUUCAAGAUAAACGUGCAUUGGCACAACAACUCAAUUAAGCAUACUGAAAAUAAGUUGAGUUUCUUACGUACUAGCUUUAUAUUUCACUCAGAUUUGGGGUUCCUACUAAUUAAAGGCAAAGAAGAAAGCUAGGCUCCCCAGUUUUGGGAAAUAUAGAUACUAAAGCAGUUGAUUAUGCACGCAAAGCUAGGGCGCUAAGGCACUUUUCCACGCAACCUGAAUUAUCUUAAUCCUUGAGGUCUUUGAAGUACUGUUCCAGUCAUUUUGGUUUCUGUGCUAGAUCUUGAUGUGCGAGAUCUGACCUAGUCAUCUCCAAGUCCGUUCCUUUCCAGGUUUGAUCUUACUUCUUGUUAUUGUGGGAGUUCUCUGUGCAUGCGUGUAAUUAAUUAAGUCUCUGAUCUUUGAUACAAGCUCCUCCACCUUUAAUUUUGUCUGCUCGCCUCCUUUAUUUCCCUCCUGGCUUCUCACCUUUCUACCCCUUUACCUCCUCAACACACUCAGAACAACUCACAUUAACCUUCCUUGAUUACUCCUCUGAGAUCAUACAAGUCUCCUAACAACGACGUGGAAAGGUUCAACUGUGAAGAGAAAUUAAGAUCCCUAAAAAGCGUAGCACACUUACUUGUGGUUCUUCGUCCUGAUAAUAUGUAAACUUGGAGAAUGGAGUGGGAUCACCGCGGCUGAAAGAGAGUAUGGGAACAGGAAGUUAGUGACGAGUGUUCUCAUGCGCUACGAGGCCUUAAGAAGAAGGUUUUCUCAGCUGGAAGAUGCGAGAGAAGCUGUAACAAACGUGCUGAUUUGAAAGCAGGAUCUAAUAUAACAUUACUCGAGCUUAAUCACACAAAAGAGUAUGGUUUUGGUUUGUUUUAUGCAUGUUAGAAUCUUUGAAAAUACUUUAUAUGUUUUCUUAUAUCAACCAUCCUUACCUAUUUACUGCUUAAAUGGGGUCCACGACAAAAGGAGCAAACAUUUUUUUAUAUUUUGUUUCUAACAAUCUAGACAAAAAUUGACAAUAAGCAAAACCUACUCUGAUUUUCUUUCUCAAUGACAAUGGCAAACAACGAAAAAAUAAUCUCAAA